UAACACGGGGGGAGCAAGCGUUGUCCGGAAUUACUAGGCGUAAAGGGCAAGUAGGCGGAACAAUUAGUCAGGUGUUAAAGGCGUCGGCUCAACCGGCGUACGGCAUUUGAUACUGUUGUUCUAGAGUAAGGUGGGGGAAGACGGAAUUCCUGGUGUAGCGGUGGAAUGCGGAGAUAUCAGGAAGAACACCGGUGGCGAAGGCGGUCUUCUAUACCAUUACUGACGCUCAAUUGCGAAGGUGUGGGUAUCGAACAGGAUUAGAUACCCUGGUAGUCCACACAGUAAACGAUAUGUACUAGGUGUUGGGGGAGAUGAUCUUUCAGUGCCGCAGCUAACGCGUUAAGUACAUCGCCUGGGGAGUACGAUCGCAAGGUUA
RNAcentral lists this ribosomal RNA (376 nucleotides) under uncultured Spirochaetota bacterium. RNAcentral's name for it is "bacterial SSU rRNA". It matches the Rfam family "Bacterial small subunit ribosomal RNA", at positions 521 to 896 of the family's 1533-position model. Lineage: Bacteria; Pseudomonadati; Spirochaetota. The record is from RNAcentral.